GUACUCGAGCGGCGAACGGGUGAGUAACACGUGAGUAACCUGCCCCUGACUCUGGGAUAAGCCCGGGAAACUGGGUCUAAUACCGGAUACGACCGGCUCUCGCAUGAGAUGCUGGUGGAAAGUCUUUUCGGUUGGGGAUGGACUCGCGGCCUAUCAGCUUGUUGGUGGGGUAGUGGCCUACCAAGGCGACGACGGGUAGCCGGCCUGAGAGGGCGACCGGCCACACUGGGACUGAGACACGGCCCAGACUCCUACGGGAGGCAGCAGUGGGGAAUAUUGCGCAAUGGGCGAAAGCCUGACGCAGCGACGCCGCGUGGGGGAUGACGGCCUUCGGGUUGUAAACCUCUUUCAGCAGGGACGAAGUUGACGUGUACCUGCAGAAGAAGCGCCGGCUAACUACGUGCCAGCAGCCGCGGUAAUACGUAGGGCGCAAGCGUUGUCCGGAAUUAUUGGGCGUAAAGAGCUCGUAGGUGGCUGGUCGCGUCUGCCGUGAAAGCCCGCAGCUUAACUGCGGGUCUGCGGUGGAUACGGGCCGGCUAGAGGUAGGUAGG
This 551-nucleotide ribosomal RNA is filed under the name Nonomuraea sp. Its description in RNAcentral is "bacterial SSU rRNA". It matches the Rfam family "Bacterial small subunit ribosomal RNA", at positions 87 to 655 of the family's 1533-position model. The record is from RNAcentral. Lineage: Bacteria; Bacillati; Actinomycetota; Actinomycetes; Streptosporangiales; Streptosporangiaceae.